AGUGAACGCUGGCGGUAGGCCUAACACAUGCAAGUCGAACGGCAGCACAGUAAGAGCUUGCUAUUACGGGUGGCGAGUGGAGGACGGGUGAGGAAUACAUCGGAAUCUACUUUUUCGUGGGGGAUAACGUAGGGAAACUUACGCUAAUACCGCAUACGACCUACGGGUGAAAGCAGGGGAUCUUCGGACCUUGCGCGAUUGAAUGAGCCGAUGUCGGAUUAGCUAGUUGGCGGGGUAAAGGCCCACCAAGGCGACGAUCCGUAGGUGGUCUGAGAGGAUGAUCAGCCACACUAGAUUUGAGACACGAUACGGACUCCUACGGGAGGCAGCAGUGGGGAAAAUUGGACAAUGGGCGAUAGCCUGAUCCAGCCAUACCGCGUGGGUGAAGAAGGCCUUAGGGUUGUGAAGCCCUUUUGUUGGGAAAGAAAAGCAGCAGGUUAAUACCCCGCUGUUCUGACGGUACCCAAAGAAUAAGCACCGGCUAACUUCGUG
This 492-nucleotide ribosomal RNA is filed under the name uncultured bacterium. RNAcentral's name for it is "partial 16S ribosomal RNA". It matches the Rfam family "Bacterial small subunit ribosomal RNA", at positions 29 to 507 of the family's 1533-position model. The record is from RNAcentral.